AUUGGAGCUCCAAGUCAUCUGCCGGCUGUUCCUUCUGUGCUAAAGUUCGGUUGAAUUCUUGAACAAGCCCACUUCGAUAGCAGCAGCAACUGAACUGAUUCUCUUACCUUGCUCUUCAUGAAGAACCUCCCUCCCUGGAGGGAUGUUUUGUUGCAGCGGGUUAGUAGGUUGAUCAAUGUCCAGUCCUCGGCAUGAUCCCAUGACAAGGAAUUCGGCGAACAUUCUUGCAGUUCCUUGAAUUUCUCGUUCAUGACUGUAUUCUUGUACGAGCCCAUCCGAUGUUUCAUGCCAUAGUCACGUCGAGGCAUUAGAGUAGGAGGGAGAUGUACGAGGAAUCUGGAAGGAACAACCUGCAUGUCAUAAUUCUAGUUAUCCAUUGGUAAUUCUUGAUGCCUUCUAUGCCUAUAUUUAUCUAAUUAGAUCUCUAAUAUAUAUGAGUCACAGCAAAAAAUGCAUAGAACAGUACAAGGUAUAUACUUCCAAGACAUGCUUUGCUUGGGAGAAGCC
Molecule: long non-coding RNA, 507 nt
Filed under: Hordeum vulgare
Lineage: Eukaryota; Viridiplantae; Streptophyta; Magnoliopsida; Poales; Poaceae
Description: long non-coding RNA (HVUL_LNC011395)
Source: RNAcentral